AACGUAGGUGGCUAACGUUAUCCGGAUUUACUGGGCGUAAAGCGCGCGCAGGCGGCUUCGCAAGUCGGGCAUGAAACCUCCUCGCUUAACGGGGAGAAGCUGUUCGAUACUGCGAGGCUUGAGGUCGGUAGAGGGUGGUGGAAUUCCGCAUGUAGUGGUGAAAUGCGUAGAGAUGCGGAGGAACACCAGUGGCGAAGGCGGCCACCUGGACCGAUCCUGACGCUAAAGCGCGAAAGCUAGGGUAGCAAACGGG
This 253-nucleotide ribosomal RNA is filed under the name uncultured bacterium. RNAcentral describes it as "partial 16S ribosomal RNA". It matches the Rfam family "Bacterial small subunit ribosomal RNA", at positions 524 to 776 of the family's 1533-position model. The record is from RNAcentral.